CAAUCCUAUUCGCCGUUCCCGGCG
RNAcentral lists this small nuclear RNA (24 nucleotides) under Arabidopsis thaliana (thale cress). RNAcentral's name for it is "snRNA_16656". The record is from RNAcentral. Lineage: Eukaryota; Viridiplantae; Streptophyta; Magnoliopsida; Brassicales; Brassicaceae.